This 71-nucleotide transfer RNA is filed under the name Bos taurus (domestic cattle). It matches the Rfam family "tRNA". From Rfam's summary of the family: Transfer RNA (tRNA) molecules are approximately 80 nucleotides in length. The record is from Rfam by way of RNAcentral. Lineage: Eukaryota; Metazoa; Chordata; Mammalia; Artiodactyla; Bovidae. RNAcentral also lists the same sequence under 2 other names.
UCCCUAUAGCUCAGAUGGUAAAGAAUCUGCCUGCAAUGCAGGAGGCCCAGGUUCGAUCCCUGGGUCGGGAA